UGCUGAGGAAGUAAAAAGGAAUUCUUAUUUAUAAUUUAUACCCCACCUACUUCCAAAGAGAAUUUUAAAGGUGACUCACAAUGAAAAACCACAUAUGAAGCAAGAUCACUGAGUUAAAAAUUGAAACAUCAAGCCAUGGGAAUGAAGAAAGGGAAGCCUGUGUUACCUAUCACUACUGUGCCAAAGUCCUUCCUUUUGUCCAGACAUUCCACUUUACAAAAGAGGGCGACGGGAACGAUGAGGUGUGGCUCGAGCUGAGGGAAAGUUUAUCUAUUCUCUCUGGGUAGAGGCAUGGGGAGAACUCCCAUUAUCCAAUUUGACAAACUCCUGACCUGCUUUAGCAGUUGAAAAUCAUCGUUCAUGGAUGCUUGGAUGACACAGGGCUCACCUCCAAAAAGAAGUUCAACUGAUGCCAUGAGCUGCAGUCAACCCAACAGAUAGCUCUCUCCGAAUCUUCUCCACAACUCUGCCAUAUUCCCACCUGUGUAUUUGGCUUCCUGCAGCAAAUACCACAACAAGCCAGGGCCUGUAGCCAGCAUGAUGCCUCCUCUGAUGAAUAGGGUACAAAGUGGAGCCAGGAAAGCAGCAGGUGGGCCACCAUGGGGCCUGUGACAGGCAGGCUCAGCCAGAAAAAUGACAGAUGGAGAGAUGGAUUGAUCCAUGGAUUAUUAAAUCAUCAAGUUCUCGGCUUCUCUAACCUUCAUCGGGCCCUUGGAUCUCUGUCCAGGAACUCCAAACCCACCCCUACAAAGCAGGUAGAGCUGGACCUGGCAGCCCUCCACAGCCUUAGCCUUUGCCUCUGCCUCCGGGGGACUCUGGAUAGGAGACACAGGCACUCAGUUCUCACUCAGGGUGAGGCUGAAACCCAUAGGGUUCCUAUUUAAAGCCUGUCUCAUUCAUCAUUUCAGCACCAACCAACAAUUAACCCUGAUUCAGUCAAUGCCGACAACACAACCAGCCUUGCGCUGAUUAUUUAAAACUCUGUCCUGGCCUCUGGGGCCUUCAGAACCGGGACUGUUUGUCCUGCCAGGAACGAAGCCCCACCCUCCGGAUCCAGGAUCCCAAGGACAUAUGUAGGGUAUAGGGUCUGCUUAUGCAGCCCUGGCUGGAGCUCUCUCCACCUAGCUCACUGAGGGAGAUCUGAGAGGCUGGCUGGGAGGAACAGCUCUGAGAAGGCUCUGGGAGGACUCAGAGACGCCAGGAGAACAGGAAAAGGGACCUAGAGACAGAAGGAAAAAAAAAAA
This is a non-coding RNA of Cricetulus griseus (Chinese hamster), 1244 nucleotides long. Lineage: Eukaryota; Metazoa; Chordata; Mammalia; Rodentia; Cricetidae. The record is from RefSeq and is a predicted model, not a curated record.